RNAcentral lists this long non-coding RNA (5271 nucleotides) under Pan troglodytes (chimpanzee). Its description in RNAcentral is "long non-coding RNA NONPTRT013608". The record is from RNAcentral. Lineage: Eukaryota; Metazoa; Chordata; Mammalia; Primates; Hominidae.
GUUUUUUAUUGCUGCUAAUUUAUUCCUAACUAAUCUUAAUAAGUUUUUUUUUUCCACAAACGCAACCAUUUUGGUGGGUUUUAGAGAAAGUUCAAAGUAUGUAUAGCAAAUUAAUCUGUGGUGGCUUUAAGAAAUCUCAGCUUGGAAUUAUAACUGUUUUUACUGCGUCUUUUAUAUACAGGACCUGUGUAUAUGUCCUUGGGCUCAUAGCUAAAACCAAACAAGGCUGUGAUAUUCUAAAAUGUCACAACUGGGAUGCUGUGAGGCAUAGUCGCAAACAUCUGUGGCCAGUGGUUCCAGAUGAUGUGGAACAACUCUGUAAUGAACUUUCAUCUAUCCCAAGCACUGCUCCAAACGGUUUGAACUCAGGAUCAACCAGCUCUAGACAUAAUAGCGAAAGUGAAUCUGUGCCAGCGAGUAUGUUCAUAUUGGAGGAUGACCGGUUUGGCAGCAGCUCUACUAGUACAUUUUUCCUUGAUAUCAACGAAGAUACAGAGCCAGCAUUUUAUGACCGAUCUGGACCCAUAAAGGAUAAAAAUUCAUUCCCUUUCUUUGCUUCUAGUAAACUUGUGAAGAAUCGUAUCUUAAAUUCGCUUACUUUGCCUAACAAAAAACAUCGUAGUAGCAGUGAUCCAAAAGGAGGGAAAUUAUCAUCUGAAAGUAAGACAAGCAACAGGCGAAUCAGAACACUUACGGAGCCCAGUGUUGAUUUUAAUCAUAGUGAUGAUUUUACACCCAUAUCCACUGUACAGAAAACAUUACAAUUAGAGACUUCAUUUAUGGGGAAUAAGCACAUUGAAGACACUGGUAGUACACCAAGCAUUGGAGAAAAUGACUUAAAAUUCACCAAGAAUUUUGGUACAGAGAAUCACAGAGAAAAUACAAGCCGAGAGAGGUUAGUAGUAGAAAGUUCAACGAGCUCACAUAUGAAGAUACGUAGCCAAAGUUUUAAUACAGACACUACAACAAGUGGCAUAAGUUCAAUGAGCUCAAGUCCUUCACGAGAGACAGUAGGUGUAGAUGCUACAACUAUGGACACAGACUGUGGAAGCAUGAGUACUGUGGUAAGUACUAAAACUAUUAAGACAAGCCACUAUUUGACGCCACAGUCUAACCAUCUGUCUCUCUCCAAAUCAAAUUCGGUGUCCCUGGUGCCUCCAGGUUCUUCUCAUACGCUUCCUAGAAGAGCACAGUCCCUUAAAGCACCCUCUAUUGCUACAAUUAAAAGUCUAGCAGAUUGUAACUUUAGUUACACAAGUUCUAGAGAUGCUUUUGGCUAUGCUACACUGAAAAGACUACAGCAACAAAGAAUGCAUCCAUCCUUAUCUCACUCUGAAGCUUUGGCAUCUCCAGCAAAAGAUGUGCUAUUUACUGAUACCAUCACCAUGAAGGCCAACAGUUUUGAGUCCAGAUUAACACCAAGCAGGAUCGAUUUUAAAAAGAAGCAUGUCGGGGGAAUCAGGAGCUUAAGACCUACAAUAACAAACAACCUUUUCAGGUUCAUGAAAGCCUUAAGUUAUGCAUCAUUAGAUAAAGAAGAUUUAUUGAGUCCUAUUAAUCAAAAUACCCUGCAACGAUCUUCCUCAGUGCGGUCCAUGGUGUCCAGUGCCACAUAUGGGGGUUCAGAUGAUUACAUUGGUCUUGCUCUCCCGGUGGAUAUAAAUGAUAUAUUCCAGGUAAAGGAUAUUCCCUAUUUUCAGACAAAAAACAUACCACCACAUGAUGAUCGAGGUGCAAGAGCAUUUGCCCAUGAUGCAGGAGGUCUUCCAUCUGGAACUGGAGGUCUUGUAAAAAAUUCUUUUCACUUGCUACGACAGCAGAUGAGUCUUACGGAAAUAAUGAAUUCAAUCCAUUCAGAUGCCUCUCUGUUUUUAGAAAGUACAGAAGACACUGGACUACAGGAACAUACAGAUGAUAACUGCCUUUAUUGUGUCUGUAUUGAAAUUCUGGGUUUCCAGCCCAGCAACCAACUGAGUGCAAUAUGUAGUCAUUCAGACUUUCAAGAUAUUCCAUAUUCUGAUUGGUGUGAGCAGACUAUCCAUAAUCCUUUAGAAGUGGUUCCCUCUAAGUUUUCGGGGAUUUCUGGAUGCAGUGAUGGGGUGUCUCAAGAAGGCUCAGCUAGCAGCACCAAAAGCACAGAAUUGUUACUAGGUGUUAAAACAAUUCCAGAUGAUACACCAAUGUGCCGUAUACUCCUUCGCAAAGAAGUUCUAAGAUUAGUCAUUAAUUUGAGUAGUUCAGUUUCAACUAAAUGUCAUGAGACUGGGCUUUUAACAAUUAAGGAGAAGUAUCCUCAAACAUUUGAUGACAUAUGCCUUUACUCUGAGGUUUCCCAUUUGCUGUCACACUGCACAUUCAGACUUCCGUGUCGGAGGUUCAUACAAGAAUUAUUUCAAGAUGUACAGUUUCUACAAAUGCAUGAAGAAGCAGAGGCUGUGUUGGCAACACCACCAAAGCAACCUAUAGUUGAUACAUCUGCUGAAUCCUGACCUCAUAUUUAUGAUGGAUAUAGAUACAUACUAUAUAUAUUCAUAUUUGUGGAUUUCCUAAAAGCCUCAGAAAAUACGACUGACUAGGCAGCAAAGACAGGAGUAUCUUCUGCACACUGUUCCGCAGUUACUGGUACAUGAACAGUUGGAACUGCUGACUUUCCUAACCAAAACAACUUCCUUCUCUCCUUUGUUGAGCCUUUUGAGGGGUUCAUGAUUCAUUACCACAGUUUUAAGAGUUUUAGUUACCAUUGUAUGCAAGAGCCAAGCACUGAAUACCUACAUAGGUUUUCUAUUUUCUUUCAUUUUAAAAGCAUAAUGACAGUGGAACAAUAAUGGGAUAUGCAGAAGCACCCUUCACAAGUUAUUUCUGAAUGAUUUUUAGGGUAAAUUUACAGAUGCCUUGUUUGUUAACUAAUUUGUGGAAAGCAGGAAUCAGUGUCUCUAAGGCUGCAUCCUGUUACCACAAUGGGGUGUGCUAUAACUGCUGGUAUUAGAGAGGGAACUUUGGCCCUUUCAUGUUUUUCUUAAUGUUUGUAACACUACUUCAGAGGUUUAUAACCUCAAAGCAGAAGAAGAGCCUCAACAACCCGGGACUUAUAAGUUAUUUUUAUGUUACUAGACUUGCAUAAAGAUUCUUGUUUUCCAACUCUUCAUUUUGUUGCAAUGUGUUAUUACAGGAUAUAUGAACCAAUUAAGGUUUUUCACUACAGUUCUUGAAUAAAAUUUAAAAAUCAUUUUUUAUUUUAAUUAAAAAUAUUUCCCAUUUAUAGAAUGCAUAUAUUUGCAAUGGACUUCCACUUUCAUCAACUUUCCAUCUCAUCGCUUUAAACAGGAACUUGAACAAGCACUGUUAGUUUAGACCUAAAGGAUAGGAAAGCAUUAAAUAAUACUUUGGAUCUCCUGAGGAAAAGAUAAGUUUGCUUGCAAUUUACACAUUCCAUGGGGAAAGAAGAGCCAUAUUUCCUUUAAAAAAAAACAUUAAUAAAGCUUGUUAUUAAGAAAAAUUGUAGUGAAAAGCCUUAAGUACCAAAUUUUAAAGCAGCAGUAACUUAAUUUUUAUAUCAGUGUUUUUGUUUUGCACAAACUAAAUGCAGUGGUAGGUGGGUUUAUGAGUAUAUUAAUUGCCUUUAUCCAUUUGUGAAGUUAAGUUGAUGAGGGCAAGGUUUUUGUUUGUUUAAUUUGUAUGUGUCUAAAGGUAUUUGGAACUUUUUACAGGAAUUAAACAUAUAUGCAAAUUUGUAUAUAAAAAUAGCAUGGCCAUCAUUUGAAUGCUUGUAAAUGAAAGGAUUAUCUUUUUUGAGAUCUACAUAUAAAUAGAAAUAGAAAAUCCAGCUGGACUGAUUAGGAUUCUUUUUUAAUUCAUUUGUGUAUAACAUUUUUAUUACAAUUACACAUCAGUUUUGACACAGUCAUAGCAACAUUAAUAUUUUCCCAUGAUGCAGAUCCUUUUUGUAAUGGGCUUGUUCUUUGAGAUCUCUGUAAAGAACCCUGUGAACUAGAAAACAUAACUCACAGAGAUACUUUUUUAAAAAAUUUAUUUACUGGCACUGAAAGUUCCAGUUGGGAUGAAGCAUUUCAUCUCACUUCAUAACACCUCUUUGACUGCACUUCAGUGAAUUGUUCUUAUGUGCACUGUGUAGCAACUUACAUUAUAACAAAGCAGAUAAGGGCUGUAAGCUGCUGCUUAUGUUGAAAAGUGGUUCUUCAGAUUUUCUCUCAUAAAAUCCAAUUGAAGAUAAAUAAUUUUUUUAUACUUUAUCACUGAACCCAAGUGUUUAUUUAAAUGUCAACAGUACUUCUAAGAACGUUGCCUGUCAUCGUGGUCUUUGGUCUUGGAUAACUAAACUGCCUUUCCAGAGAACCAAAUGUCAGAGUUACUAGACCAAAUAGUGGUUAAAACCUCCAAAGGAAGUAAUGUAGUAAUCUUAUUCAUAAUGGGUUUUAGACAUUCAUUUUAAACACUACCUCAGUUAAUAUAGAGUAUAAAAUCUGUGGUUUAAUCCCUCAAAAGUUAACAGUAAUUUUUUUUUGUCUUACACACACACACACACACACACACACCUCCUCCCCCACCAUCACUAUCCCUGUACCCUCACCUUGGUCAUCUAUCCUGAAAUAAGGCUUAGUUAGUGUUGGCCUGAAUGUUUCGUGUUUUUUUUUUUUUUACUGUUACUUUGAAAAAUAUGUAUGUAUACCUUAUCAUAUCUGCCUAUAUCACUUACUUUGGGGAGAUACUCAGAGCUUUGUGGUUAUCAGUAUACUAAAAAAAAAAAAAAAAAAAAGUCUACGCUUAAAUUUAUAGUGCUAUUUGGUUUCUCCAUGAUUUCACUGACAGGUCUAAUACAUUUUCUUUGAGUACUUGUUUGUAAAAAGUAGACUUUAUGGUGAAAAAUACAUGCAGUGCCAAGUGAUUAACUUAGGUGUUUAAAAAUAUUAAAUUAUAGCAGAAGAGGUUAGGAAUGAUAUCAGCAGUAAUAGAAAUAAUUGAGAAAAUCAUCUAUAAAUAAUAGAUAUUACAGACUAUAGAAUACCAAAAUAAUGUCAAUACUGUAGUUUUUAAAGAUUUUAGGAUUAAUCUUAGUCCAUAUAAAUUUGUACUAUUGGUAAUUAUUGAAUAAUUGGGAGGAAUCUGGGCAGUUGUGCUGGUUGUAAACUGUGAAUUUCUAAUCGUAAAGUGAAUUGUUAUUUCUAAUUGAACUUUUUUUCAAGAACAGAUUUCAGCCUCACAUACUAAGUAAAUACUGAUAAAUAAGGAAAUUAGAAAUUUAGUAUUCAUAAU